GGGGAAUUGUUCGCAAUGGGCGCAAGCCUGACGACGCAACGCCGCGUGGAGGAUGAAGGUCUUCGGAUUGUAAACUCCUGUUGCCCGGGACGAAAUGCUUCGACCUAACACGUCGAAGUUUGACGGUACCGGGUGAGGAAGCCCCGGCUAACUUCGUGCCAGCAGCCGCGGUAAGACGAAGGGGGCUAGCGUUGUUCGGAAUUACUGGGCGUAAAGCGAGUGUAGGUGGUUUUCCAAGUUGGAUGUGAAAGCCUUGAGCUCAACUCAAGAAAUGCAUUCAGGACUGGGCGGCUAGAGGACCGGAGAGGAUAGUGGAAUUCCCAGUGUAGUGGUGAAAUACGUAGAGAUUGGGAAGAACACCAGUGGCGAAGGCGGCUAUCUGGACGGUUUCUGACACUAAGACUCGAAAGCGUGGGGAGCAAAC
Molecule: ribosomal RNA, 424 nt
Filed under: uncultured bacterium
Lineage: Bacteria
Description: bacterial SSU rRNA
Rfam family: Bacterial small subunit ribosomal RNA
Source: RNAcentral